GCUUACAAGUUAGCUUACUCUCUUCUUGUGCAUAUAAACCGCAACUAAGUAAAACAUGUUCUACAUUUAGUAAAGGCGAUCAAAAAAUGUCUUAAAGCUAUACAAUUAGUACCGCAAGGGAAAAGUGAAAUAGCAAUGAAAAACUUCAAGCACAUAAAAGCAGAGAUUCAAUCUCGUACCUUUUGCAUCAUGGUCUAACUAGUCUAAUCAAGCAAAAUGAUUUUUAAGUCUGACCCCCCGAAACUAGGUGAGCUACUUAAAAACAGCCUUAUGGGCCAACCCGUCUCUGUUGCAAAAGAGUGGGAUGAUUUUUAAGUAGAGGUGAUAAACCUACCGAACCUAGAGAUAGCUGGUUAUUCAGGAAAAGGAUUUAAGUCCUACCUUAGGUUUUCUGUAUAUAUAAAUACAUUUUUAACCUUAAGAGCUAUUCAAAUAAGGUACAGCCUAUUGAAACAGGAUACAACCUCACUUUAAUAAGUGGGCCCUAAAGCAGCCACCUUUUAAAAAAGCGUUAAAGCUUUAUUAACCGUUUGUAAAAAAUUCCAUUAACUACCUGUAACCCUCAACCUGUACUGAAUGAUUUCAUAAUUUUAUGAAAACCUAUAUGUUAGAACUAGUAACAAGAAGAAGCCCUUCUCCAAAAUGUAAGCAUAAGCCAAAAUGAACCACUCAUUGGCAUUUAAAGUUAAUAAACCACAAGUAGUAACUUAACAAGAAAAAACUACUAAUUAUAACGUCAACCUUACACUAGUACAUUUCUGGAAAGACUAAAAGAAUGGGAAGGAACUCGGCAAACAAUUAACCUCGCCUGUUUACCAAAAACAUCGCCUCCUGCAUUUUAUAGGAGGUCCAGCCUGCCCAGUGACAAAGUUAAACGGCCGCGGUACCCUAACCGUGCAAAGGUAGCGCAAUCAUUUGUUCUUUAAAUGAGGACUAGUAUGAACGGCAUCACGAAGGUUAUACUGUCUCCCCACUCUAUUCAGUGAAACUGAUCUCCCCGUGAAGAAGCGGGAAUAAAAAUAUAAGACGAGAAGACCCCAUGGAGCUUUAAACUCAGUAACAACUGCUAUUUUUAAGCCUAGUAUUUACACAGCCAUGAUUACUAGUUUUUGGUUGGGGUGACCGCGGAGUAGAACUUAACCUCCAUGAUGAAAGGAAGUAUUAACCUAAACCAAGAGCGACAGCUCAAAGUAUUAAUAAAUUAACUAAUUGACCCAAUUACUUGAUCAACGAACUAAGUUACCCUGGGGAUAUCAGCGCAAUCCAUUUCAAGAGCUCAUAUCGACAAAUGGGUUUCAGACCUCGAUGUUGGAUCAGGGUAUCCCAGUGGCGCAGCAGCUACUAACGGUUC
RNAcentral lists this ribosomal RNA (1351 nucleotides) under Microhyla sp. n NAP-2020. RNAcentral describes it as "partial large subunit ribosomal RNA". It matches the Rfam family "Bacterial large subunit ribosomal RNA", at positions 379 to 2574 of the family's 2925-position model. Lineage: Eukaryota; Metazoa; Chordata; Amphibia; Anura; Microhylidae. The record is from RNAcentral.